AGUAUUUUGACUAUACAAAGGUAUUGUAAUAAGACUUUAAUUGAGUGCUAAGAGAAUGGACUUUCAAAAAAAUUCUUUUUUAAAUUUAAAAAUUGAAGUUAUUCUUAUAUGUGAAGAAACAAUAAUAUAAAUUAAAGACAAGAAGACCCUAUGAAUUUUUAUAAAUUUGUAUAUAAAUAUUAUAUGAGAAUUUAUUUAAUUGGGGCGAUUAUGAAAUAUAUUUAACUUUUAAUAAAAAAUUAAUAUGAUCCACUAUUAAUGAUUAUGUGAAAUAAAUACUCUAGGGAUAACAGCGUAAUAAUUUUAGAUAGAUCCUAUAGAAAAAAUAGUUUGCGACCUCGAUGUUGGAUUAGGAUUCUUAUUUAAUGAAGAAGUUAAAUUAAGAAGUUUGUUCAACUUUUAAAUUCCU
This 409-nucleotide ribosomal RNA is filed under the name Haemaphysalis muhsamae. RNAcentral describes it as "partial large subunit ribosomal RNA". Lineage: Eukaryota; Metazoa; Arthropoda; Arachnida; Ixodida; Ixodidae. The record is from RNAcentral.